This 2877-nucleotide ribosomal RNA is filed under the name Stenotrophomonas rhizophila. Its description in RNAcentral is "23S ribosomal RNA". It matches the Rfam family "Bacterial large subunit ribosomal RNA". Lineage: Bacteria; Pseudomonadati; Pseudomonadota; Gammaproteobacteria; Lysobacterales; Lysobacteraceae. The record is from RNAcentral.
UCAAGCGAAUAAGCGCACACGGUGGAUGCCUUGGCGGUCAGAGGCGAUGAAGGACGUGGCAGCCUGCGAAAAGUAUCGGGGAGCUGGCAACAAGCUUUGAUCCGGUAAUGUCCGAAUGGGGAAACCCACCCGCUUGCGGGUAUCCUGCAGUGAAUACAUAGCUGCUGGAAGCGAACCUGGUGAACUGAAAUAUCUAAGUAACCAGAGGAAAAGAAAUCAACCGAGAUUCCCUGAGUAGCGACGAGCGAACGGGGACUAGCCCUUAAGCUGGAAUGGUUCUAGAAAAACAGCCUGGAACGGCUGGCCAUAGAAGGUGAUAGCCCUGUAUUUAAAAGGGCCACUCCAGUGAAGACGAGUAGGGCGGGGCACGUGAAACCCUGUCUGAACAUGGGGGGACCAUCCUCCAAGGCUAAAUACUACUGACCGACCGAUAGUGAACCAGUACCGUGAGGGAAAGGCGAAAAGAACCCCGGAGAGGGGAGUGAAAUAGAUCCUGAAACCGUGUGCGUACAAGCAGUAGGAGCUCGAAAGAGUGACUGCGUACCUUUUGUAUAAUGGGUCAGCGACUUACUGUUCGUGGCAAGCUUAACCGUAUAGGGGAGGCGAAGGGAAACCGAGUCUGAUAAGGGCGCAUAGUCGCGGGCAGUAGACCCGAAACCGGGUGAUCUAGUCAUGGCCAGGGUGAAGGUGCCGUAACAGGUACUGGAGGCCCGAACCCACGUCUGUUGCAAAAGACGGGGAUGAGCUGUGAUUAGGAGUGAAAAGCUAAUCGAACCCGGAGAUAGCUGGUUCUCCUCGAAAGCUAUUUAGGUAGCGCCUCAUAUGUAUCCUCUCGGGGGUAGAGCACUGUUAUGGCUAGGGGGUCAUCGCGACUUACCAAACCAUUGCAAACUCCGAAUACCGAGACGGACUGUAUGGGAGACACACGGCGGGUGCUAACGUCCGUCGUGAAAAGGGAAACAACCCAGACCCACAGCUAAGGUCCCAAAUUCACUGCUAAGUGGAAAACCAUGUGGAAAGGCACAGACAGCCAGGAGGUUGGCUUAGAAGCAGCCACCCUUUAAAGAAAGCGUAAUAGCUCACUGGUCGAGUCGGUCUGCGGGGAAGAUUUAACGGGGCUAAGCAGUGAACCGAAGCUUGGGGUGUGCAUAUUUAUAUGUACGCGGUAGAGGAGCGUUCCGUAAGCCGUUGAAGGUGGAUUGAGAAGUCUGCUGGAGGUAUCGGAAGUGCGAAUGCUGACAUGAGUAACGAUAAUGCGGGUGAAAAACCCGCACGCCGAAAGCCCAAGGUUUCCUUGCGCAACGUUAAUCGGCGCAGGGUGAGUCGGCCCCUAAGGCGAGGACGAAAGUCGUAGUCGAUGGGAAGCAGGUUAAUAUUCCUGCACCUCGCGUAAGUGCGAUGGAGGGACGGAGAAGGUUAGGUGUACCCGGCGUUGGUUGUCCGGGGGAAAGGCGGUAGGUUUGGAUCUUUGGCAAAUCCGGGAUCCUUUAAGACCGAGCACCGAGACGAGCCUUUAAGGCGAAGUCACUGAUACCACGCUUCCAGGAAAAGCUCCUAAGCUUCAGCUUACGCAGACCGUACCGUAAACCGACACAGGUGGGUAGGAUGAGAAUUCUCAGGCGCUUGAGAGAACUCGGGUGAAGGAACUAGGCAACAUGGCACCGUAACUUCGGGAGAAGGUGCGCCCUUUUUGGUGGCUCAUGCGAGCUAUAGCUGAAGAGGGCCGCAGUAACCAGGCCGCUGCGACUGUUUAUCAAAAACACAGCACUCUGCAAACACGAAAGUGGACGUAUAGGGUGUGACGCCUGCCCGGUGCUGGAAGGUUAAUUGAUGGGGUCAGCCGCAAGGCGAAGCUCUUGAUCGAAGCCCCAGUAAACGGCGGCCGUAACUAUAACGGUCCUAAGGUAGCGAAAUUCCUUGUCGGGUAAGUUCCGACCUGCACGAAUGGCGUAACGACAGCGGCGCUGUCUCCACCCGAGACUCAGUGAAAUUGAAAUCGCUGUGAAGAUGCAGCGUUCCCGUGGCAAGACGGAAAGACCCCGUGAACCUUUACUAUAGCUUUACACUGAACGUUGAGUUCGUCUGUGUAGGAUAGGUGGGAGGCUAUGAAACUGUGGCGCUAGCUGCAGUGGAGCCAUCCUUGAAAUACCACCCUGUCGUGCUUGACGUUCUAACCUGGGCCCAUUAUCUGGGUCGGGGACCGUGUAUGGUGGGUAGUUUGACUGGGGCGGUCUCCUCCUAAAGAGUAACGGAGGAGCUCGAAGGUACGCUCAGCGCGGUCGGACAUCGCGCACUGUGUGCAAAGGCAUAAGCGUGCUUGACUGCAAGAUCGACGGAUCAAGCAGGUAGGAAACUAGGACUUAGUGAUCCGGUGGUUCUGUAUGGAAGGGCCAUCGCUCAACGGAUAAAAGGUACUCCGGGGAUAACAGGCUGAUACCGCCCAAGAGUUCAUAUCGACGGCGGUGUUUGGCACCUCGAUGUCGGCUCAUCACAUCCUGGGGCUGUAGUCGGUCCCAAGGGUAUGGCUGUUCGCCAUUUAAAGUGGUACGCGAGCUGGGUUCAGAACGUCGUGAGACAGUUCGGUCCCUAUCUGCCAUGGGCGUUGGAGAUUUGAGAGGGGCUGCUCCUAGUACGAGAGGACCGGAGUGGACGAACCUCUGGUGUUCCGGUUGUCACGCCAGUGGCAUUGCCGGGUAGCUAUGUUCGGAAGCGAUAACCGCUGAAAGCAUCUAAGCGGGAAGCGCGCCUCAAGAUGAGAUCUCCCGGGGCACAAGCCCCCUGAAGGAACCAUAUAGACUAUGUGGUUGAUAGGUCAGGUGUGUAAGUACAGCAAUGUAUUGAGCUAACUGAUACUAAUGAUCCGUGUGGCUUGACCAU